GCCGGGUGUGGUGGCUCACGCCUGUAAUCCCAGCACUUUGGGAGGCCGAGGCGGGCGGAUCACCUGAGGUCAGGGGUUCGAAACCAGCCUGACCAACAUGGUGAAACUCUGCCUCUA
This 117-nucleotide non-coding RNA is filed under the name Homo sapiens (human). Lineage: Eukaryota; Metazoa; Chordata; Mammalia; Primates; Hominidae. The record is from Rfam by way of RNAcentral.